GGCAGCCUUUCACGCUAGAAAAAUGUAUAAAUCUUGUUGGCAAAUUACCAUGUGAACGAAAAAGGAGAAUUCCAGAUGGUCAAUCGCAGUCGACGUUAAGAUAUAUUUUCUUCUGGACGUCUGUGUCUAAAGAAGUAGCGCGCUACGAGCAACUGAACACACAGACUUCUUUGCAUCGUUUUUCUUCUUUGUAAAAGACAACGCGAACYUCCACAGGACACAGCUAAAAAACAAGGGAAAUAGCAAAAAAACUUGUUUCGGUCUUUGAACGACUGCAGCUCAAAAAGAGAAAGAUAUCAAGAGUGUAGCGAUAUUCACACAAAGUGGUUGGUCG
Exaiptasia diaphana is the source of this 334-nucleotide long non-coding RNA. RefSeq lists it as uncharacterized. Lineage: Eukaryota; Metazoa; Cnidaria; Anthozoa; Actiniaria; Aiptasiidae. The record is from RefSeq and is a predicted model, not a curated record. The transcript is spliced from 3 exons.